This 380-nucleotide unclassified non-coding RNA is filed under the name Chytridiomycota sp. Its description in RNAcentral is "partial contains small subunit ribosomal RNA, internal transcribed spacer 1, and 5.8S ribosomal RNA". The stretch from base 1 to 47 matches the Rfam family "Eukaryotic small subunit ribosomal RNA", at positions 1785 to 1831 of the family's 1831-position model. Lineage: Eukaryota; Fungi; Chytridiomycota. The record is from RNAcentral.
AAAGUCGUAACAAGGUAACCGUAGGUGAACCUGCGGUUGGAUCAUUAAAAAAUCCUUUUUUUGGUUCGCUUUGAGGGGAAACCUUUGAAGAGGAACCAGAAAAAUUAACCCUGUGUGCAAACACUGCUGUCUCUGGUGGUCGAAUUGAUCCUGCCUACUGUUCGAAAUUCUUCUUGUUGCUGAAGUUAUUUGGCUGCGGUCGAGUUUUGGACUUGGGUGGGUGUUAGUUUUGCCACCGAAAUGUUUUUAACCUUUUGUUUUGGAAGUGUCCUCAGGGAUGUUUUCAUUUUAUGAUUUAUUGUUUAUUCUUAAUCUGUUUUGCCUUUGUUGGUAAAAUUGGAAAUUACAAACAACUUUUGACAACGGAUCUCUUGGCUCUU